Molecule: ribosomal RNA, 722 nt
Filed under: uncultured Collimonas sp.
Lineage: Bacteria; Pseudomonadati; Pseudomonadota; Betaproteobacteria; Burkholderiales; Oxalobacteraceae
Description: bacterial SSU rRNA
Rfam family: Bacterial small subunit ribosomal RNA
Source: RNAcentral
GGAUUAGAUACCCUGGUAGUCCACGCCCUAAACGAUGUCUACUAGUUGUCGGGUCUUAAUUGACUUGGUAACGCAGCUAACGCGUGAAGUAGACCGCCUGGGGAGUACGGUCGCAAGAUUAAAACUCAAAGGAAUUGACGGGGACCCGCACAAGCGGUGGAUGAUGUGGAUUAAUUCGAUGCAACGCGAAAAACCUUACCUACCCUUGACAUGUACAGAAUCCCGAAGAGAUUUGGGAGUGUUCGAAAGAAAGCUGUAACACAGGUGCUGCAUGGCUGUCGUCAGCUCGUGUCGUGAGAUGUUGGGUUAAGUCCCGCAACGAGCGCAACCCUUGUCAUUAGUUGCUACGAAAGGGCACUCUAAUGAGACUGCCGGUGACAAACCGGAGGAAGGUGGGGAUGACGUCAAGUCCUCAUGGCCCUUAUGGGUAGGGCUUCACACGUCAUACAAUGGUACAUACAGAGGGCCGCCAACCCGUGAGGGGGAGCUAAUCCCAGAAAGUGUAUCGUAGUCCGGAUUGUAGUCUGCAACUCGACUACAUGAAGUUGGAAUCGCUAGUAAUCGCGGAUCAGCAUGUCGCGGUGAAUACGUUCCCGGGUCUUGUACACACCGCCCGUCACACCAUGGGAGCGGGUUUUACCAGAAGUAGGUAGCCUAACCGUAAGGAGGGCGCUUACCACGGUAGGAUUCGUGACUGGGGUGAAGUCGUUUAACAAGUAGCC